GAUGAACGCUAGCUACAGGCUUAACACAUGCAAGUCGAGGGGUAACGAGAGGAAAGCUUGCUUUCCUUGUCGACGACCGGCGCACGGGUGAGUAACGCGUAUCCAACCUGCCCCCAACUAGGGAAUAACCUUGCGAAAGUAAGACUAAUACCCUAUAAUUUCCUCAGAUGCCAUCUGACGAGGAAUAAAGAUUUAUCGGUUGUGGAUGGGGAUGCGUCUGAUUAGCUUGUUGGCGGGGUAACGGCCCACCAAGGCAACGAUCAGUAGGGGUUCUGAGAGGAAGGUCCCCCACAUUGGAACUGAGACACGGUCCAAACUCCUACGGGAGGCAGCAGUGAGGAAUAUUGGUCAAUGGGCGGAAGCCUGAACCAGCCAAGUAGCGUGCAGGAUGACGGCCCUAUGGGGUUGUAAACUGCUUUUAUACAGGAAUAAAGUUAGCCACGUUGUGGUUAUUUGUAGGUACUGUAUGAAUAAGGCCGGCUAAUUCCGUGCCAGCAGCCGCGGUAAAACUGCGUG
RNAcentral lists this ribosomal RNA (516 nucleotides) under uncultured bacterium. RNAcentral's name for it is "bacterial SSU rRNA". It matches the Rfam family "Bacterial small subunit ribosomal RNA", at positions 28 to 532 of the family's 1533-position model. The record is from RNAcentral.